RNAcentral lists this ribosomal RNA (517 nucleotides) under Thorius troglodytes (Taylor's pigmy salamander). RNAcentral describes it as "partial 16S ribosomal RNA". It matches the Rfam family "Bacterial large subunit ribosomal RNA", at positions 1816 to 2597 of the family's 2925-position model. Lineage: Eukaryota; Metazoa; Chordata; Amphibia; Caudata; Plethodontidae. The record is from RNAcentral.
CGCCUUUUGAUUUAUUAAUAUAAAAGGUCCUGCCUGCCCAGUGACAUUUGUUCAACGGCCGCGGUAUUAUGACCGUGCAAAGGUAGCGUAAUCACUUGUCCUUUAAAUGAAGACCAGUAUGAACGGCAAGACGAGAGCCUAACUGUCUCUCCACACUAGUUAAUGAAAUUGAUUUUUCCGUGCAGAAGCGGAAAUAAUAUUAUAAGACGAGAAGACCCUGUGGAGCUUUAAGUAAAAACUAGUUAUUUAAUAUAAUAUGGCUAAAACUUUAGGUUGGGGCGACCGUGAGGUAAAAUUAAUCCCUCAAGAUAAAAUAUUAGAAAGACACUUCAAACAAACAAAAUAUUGAUAUAUUGACCCAAAAAUUGAUCAACGAACCAAGUUACCCCAGGGAUAACAGCGCAAUCCACUCACAGAGUCCUUAUCGACGAGUGGGUUUACGACCUCGAUGUUGGAUCAGGACCCCCAAAUAAUGUAACAAUUAUUAAAGGUUCGUUUGUUCAACGAUUAAAGUCCU